CUGCCGCGUGUAUGAAGAAGGCCUUCGGGUUGUAAAGUACUUUCAGCGGGGAGGAAGGGAGUAAAGUUAAUACCUUUGCUCAUUGACGUUACCCGCAAAAAAAGCACCGGCUAACUCCGUGCCAGCAGCCGCGGUAAUACGGAGGGUGCAAGCGUUAAUCGGAAUUACUGGGCGUAAAGCGCACGCAGGCGGUUUGUUAAGUCAGAUGUGAAAUCCCCGGGCUCAACCUGGGAACUGCAUCUGAUACUGGCAAGCUUGAGUCUCGUAGAGGGGGGUAGAAUUCCAGGUGUAGCGGUGAAAUGCGUAAAGAUCUGGAGGAAUACCGGUGGCGAAGGCGGCCCCCUGGACAAAGACUGACGCUCAGGUGCGAAAGCGUGGGGAGCAAACAGGAUUAAAUACCCUGGUAGUCCACGCCGUAAACGAUGUCAACUUGGAGGUUGUGCCCUUGAGGCGUGGCUUCCGGAGCUAACGCGUUAAGUCGACCGCCUGGGGAGUACGGCCGCAAGGUUAAAACUCAAAUGAAUUGACGGGGGCCCGCACAAG
Molecule: ribosomal RNA, 543 nt
Filed under: uncultured bacterium
Lineage: Bacteria
Description: bacterial SSU rRNA
Rfam family: Bacterial small subunit ribosomal RNA
Source: RNAcentral